UAUGAUGAACGAUCCCGCCUCGCUAUCCACACACAACGACACAUAGCCCUCCACAUACAUCCAUGCCAUCUGCACCAGCGUCAUCGUCUCCGGCGUCGCCACCUCAGCACGUGGUGCUCGAGGAUGAUGGUGAGUACUUCGACGAGGACCCCACCGUAGGCAGAGGCGUGCCGAAGGACACGGCGGGCGAGAUGGCGUGGAAGCCGAUGCAGCCAGUUGCCGCUUCGGAUGGUUUCAUGGCGGCCAUCAAACAGAGCCUGUUGGGCGCCAAAGGCCCUGCUCCCCCCACAACCCAGUAGGACGCGUGCGUGUGGGCUUGUGUGCUCGUACCACUGGUUUUCGCUCCGUCCACGCAGCCGCACACACCCGGGUACACAUGCGCGCGCCCAUCACUCCAUCUUGGCCCCCCUCCACUGCGUCGAUAUUCUCAUGGUGAGUGGCGGGUCGCGGUGGUGAUGGUAGGGAGGGACGCGAAGGGGAUGAGCACGCGCCCGUGCGCGUGCCAAUCCUCCAUCACCGUUUCCAUCGCUGAGCAGCGGCAGCGAAAGGGAUACGGCACGAAAGGCGCAUGAAUGCCCAACAGAGAGAGGCGGGGAGGGCGUCUAAGAAAGGAGAGCGAUUAAAGGGAUGACGAAGGGCGUGUGCGUAUGUGUGUGUGUGUGUAGUGGGUGCACGCCAUAGACGGAUACGCCUGUGCCCCUCACACAAGCGGGCUGCUCUUCCAUCCUUCCCCAAUGUGGCACUGCUUGCGCGAUUCACUUCCUUUUUUCGGCAGUCUCUCUCUCUCUGUCUGUCUGUGUUUACACGCUGCUGUCAGCGCGCUCGGCCAAAGCAGCGGAUCAUCGUAGACAUGCACGCAUCCUCCUCUCGCCCUCU
Molecule: unclassified non-coding RNA, 876 nt
Filed under: Leishmania donovani
Lineage: Eukaryota; Euglenozoa; Kinetoplastea; Trypanosomatida; Trypanosomatidae
Description: gene:LdHU3.06.0250(CDS-product:hypothetical_prote in)
Source: RNAcentral